Molecule: ribosomal RNA, 204 nt
Filed under: uncultured Lachnospiraceae bacterium
Lineage: Bacteria; Bacillati; Bacillota; Clostridia; Lachnospirales; Lachnospiraceae
Description: partial 16S ribosomal RNA
Rfam family: Bacterial small subunit ribosomal RNA
Source: RNAcentral
UGAGAGGGUGAACGGCCACAUUGGGACUGAGACACGGCCCAGACUCCUACGGGAGGCAGCAGUGGGGAAUAUUGCACAAUGGGGGAAACCCUGAUGCAGCGACGCCGCGUGGAGGAAGAAGUACUUCGGUAUUGUAAACUCUAGUUGCAGGGAAGAUAAUGACGGUACCUGACUAAGAAGCCCCGGCUAACUACGUGCCAGCAG